Molecule: long non-coding RNA, 363 nt
Organism: Salvelinus namaycush (lake trout)
Lineage: Eukaryota; Metazoa; Chordata; Actinopteri; Salmoniformes; Salmonidae
Exons: 3
Source: RefSeq, a predicted model, not a curated record
ACGCAUGACGUACAUUACAGUCAUCAUUCUUCUCACCGGUGCGAGGUCUGGUCCUGGAACACACUGCUUUUUAUUUCAGUAUUUCCAGUUAAUUAACCACGACCAAACAGGGUCCUUCCUUCUUUAUUUUUAUUUCUCACAUUUGGAAACCCCACAAGCUACAAAACUGACGUUCCUUCGGUGAAGGUCGCUUUUGCCUACCCCCACCCAUUGAAUAUUAUUAUUUUCGGGAAUUCAUCGUUGUCAAGCCGCCAAAGUGGAGAGUGUGAUUGCAGAAGGGGGUGCUUCUCGUUUCAGUGCUUCUUCGGGUGGGGGAGGAGGUCGGGGUGCCUCUCAGUACCAUCCCAAGACUGUCGGCAACAG